RNAcentral lists this ribosomal RNA (497 nucleotides) under uncultured bacterium. RNAcentral describes it as "partial 16S ribosomal RNA". It matches the Rfam family "Bacterial small subunit ribosomal RNA", at positions 28 to 507 of the family's 1533-position model. The record is from RNAcentral.
GAUGAACGCUGGCGGCGUGCCUAAUACAUGCAAGUCGAGCGAACAGAUGAGGAGCUUGCUCCUCUGACGUUAGCGGCGGACGGGUGAGUAACACGUGGAUAACCUACCUAUAAGACUGGGAUAACUUCGGGAAACCGGAGCUAAUACCGGAUAAUAUAUUGAACCGCAUGGUUCAAUAGUGAAAGACGGUUUUGCUGUCACUUAUAGAUGGAUCCGCGCCGCAUUAGCUAGUUGGUAAGGUAACGGCUUACCAAGGCAACGAUGCGUAGCCGACCUGAGAGGGGGAACGGGCAAAACGGAAAUGGGAACAGGGCCAAGCUCCUUAGGGAGGGAACAGUUAGGAAACUUUCCGCAUGGGCGAAAGCCUGACGGAGCAACGCCGCGUGAGUGAUGAAGGUCUUCGGAUCGUAAAACUCUGUUAUUAGGGAAGAACAAAUGUGUAAGUAACUAUGCACGUCUUGACGGUACCUAAUCAGAAAGCCACGGCUAACUACGUG